This 301-nucleotide ribosomal RNA is filed under the name uncultured bacterium. Its description in RNAcentral is "partial 16S ribosomal RNA". It matches the Rfam family "Bacterial small subunit ribosomal RNA", at positions 509 to 807 of the family's 1533-position model. The record is from RNAcentral.
CAGUCGCCGCGGUAAUACGUAGGUGGCAAGCGUUGUCCGGAAUUAUUGGGCGUAAAGGGCUCGCAGGCGGUUUCUUAAGUCUGAUGUGAAAGCCCCCGGCUCAACCGGGGAGGGUCAUUGGAAACUGGGAAACUUGAGUGCAGAAGAGGAGAGUGGAAUUCCACGUGUAGCGGCGAAAUGCGUAGAGAUGUGGAGGAACACCAGUGGCGAAGGCGACUCUCUGGUCUGUAACUGACGCUGAGGAGCGAAAGCGUGGGGAGCGAACAGGAUUAGAUACCCGUGUAGUCCCUGUCUCUUAUAC